UACGUAGGGGGCGAGCGUUACCCGGAUUUACUGGGCGUAAAGAGCGUGUAGGCGGCUGGCCAAGCGUGAUGUGAAAUCUUCGGGCUUAACCCGAAAACUGCAUUGCGAACUGGUCUGGCUAGAGUGUGUGAGAGGGUAGUGGAAUUCCCGGUGUAGCGGUGAAAUGCGUAGAGAUCGGGAGGAACAUCCGUGGCGAAGGCGACUACCUGGACCAGCACUGACACUGAGGCACGAAAGCGUGGGGAGCAAACAGG
Molecule: ribosomal RNA, 254 nt
Filed under: uncultured bacterium
Lineage: Bacteria
Description: partial 16S ribosomal RNA
Rfam family: Bacterial small subunit ribosomal RNA
Source: RNAcentral